UUAGCCACCUUUGAUUGAUCUACUUAUUAGCAUCACGGCCGCCCCCUCCGCCAUGGGGCCGCCGUGUUCUGGCGGCAGUCGUACGUGGUGGUGCUGGCUGUCGACACUUCAUGGGUUGGCUAAACUUUAUUGAUCAAAGAAUUUCGAUUUCGUCGUCUCCUCCCACGGGGCAACUUCAAUAAUCCUUUGGCAUUAUUUUCAUCAUUCAUAAUUCAUAAUUAUUGUUAAGCAAGAAUUGUUUUCGUUGGAUCAAUUUUCUUAUAAUAGUAUAUAUGAUCUAUUAAUAUUGUUUGUUAUUCAUUUGGGGUUUUCUCUAUUGUGUUGUUAUUUCAGUGCGCAUGAAAAAACAAAUUCAGUGUG
This 360-nucleotide long non-coding RNA is filed under the name Erythranthe guttata (spotted monkey flower). Its description in RNAcentral is "long non-coding RNA (EGUT_LNC001219)". Lineage: Eukaryota; Viridiplantae; Streptophyta; Magnoliopsida; Lamiales; Phrymaceae. The record is from RNAcentral.